ACGAGUUAGGGUCUCUCUGGCCCGACCUCCCAACCCUUUGCCUAUCUAACCAUCGUUGCUUCGGCGAGCCCGUCUUCACGGACCGCCGGAGGACCCUCACCGGUCCUCUGGCCCGCGCUCGUCGGUAGCCCCUACAUUAAAACCUAUAACUAAACGUAUCUCUAUCUAAGUACCACAUUUUUAAAUGUAAAAACA
RNAcentral lists this unclassified non-coding RNA (195 nucleotides) under uncultured Herpotrichiellaceae. Its description in RNAcentral is "sequence contains ITS1". Lineage: Eukaryota; Fungi; Ascomycota; Eurotiomycetes; Chaetothyriales; Herpotrichiellaceae. The record is from RNAcentral.